This 1116-nucleotide long non-coding RNA is filed under the name Gallus gallus (chicken). Lineage: Eukaryota; Metazoa; Chordata; Aves; Galliformes; Phasianidae. The record is from RNAcentral.
UGGGAAGAGCUGUGCGUUGUCCUCGCGGGGUGUUUAGGAUGUGAGCGCAGCUCCCGGCGAUGGGAUGGGGAUGGGAAGCACCGCAGCUCAGCCCACGCGUGCGGGACUUCUGUGUGGAGAGCAGGACUUCAACCUCACUGCUGGCCCUCAGAAGUCAGGAAAUAAUGGCGUUUUGGUGAAGCCCCAAAUCUGGAGACUCUGAGAGUCUUCAGAUGUGGUGCGGAUUUGGACCCAGUGGUGGUGGAAUGGAGGACAAAGCACCAAUGGUGUGAAUGUCUACAGUUACAGCACCCUGCUCCCUGGCUGACCUCCAUAUGAGGAUAAACUGGUUGAGAUAGAAGAAUCACCCAUGCAAAGCCCUGCAGCGUGCGAGCAAGCUCUCCACCAGCAGUGGAGAAACCCCCCGUGCUGCACUGGUUUGCAAGUCUUGCAAUGGGAAUUGCUAACUCAGCCCAUCCACACUGCAGGGAACGCUCGUGCAUCCCCAGGGAGUGCGGGGAUGGGUUGGGGUCUGGGAGUAAUUACACAGGGAAAGCAGAGCCCUGCUGGGCUGCUUCAAGCAGCGACGUGUCACGGCUGGGAGCGGAGGCAUUUUGCAUACCAACUUCAGAUGCCAUCAACAAUAACGCCGGGGGAGAAAGGCACAACGGCUGCACUUGUGUGGCCUGCUCUGCUCUUGGUUUUCUGUUGCAUCAGUAGGAAAAGGGCAAAUACAGCCAGAAGACCACCCUUCCAACCCAACCAUCCCGUGGUUCAAUGAUCUUCCAGGACCCUUCCAACCCAACCAUCCCAUGGCUCUAUGAUCUCUAAGGUCCCUCCAAAAACACCCCACCUGGUGGUUCUACGAUCUUCACGGUCCCACCACAGGCUGUGAAGAAUGGGCAAAAGGCAGAAAUUGCACCCAAAAGGGGACGUCCCGGAGGGUCGGCUUUGUGUGUCACGUCCAUAAAUCAGCGCUCUCUGUGGGCCGUCCCCGCGCGCUGCGCCAUUCGGGUUGGGUCAUAAAUAGGGCCGUGGGUCCUUUCAGGUUGAUAAAGGCAGAGGGGGCGGAGCAGUGGGGAGGCGUUGCGACCACAUAACACUUUCAUGGCGCUGUCAGAAUAAAGAAUACUGGUG